RNAcentral lists this ribosomal RNA (919 nucleotides) under Pholiota malakandensis. RNAcentral's name for it is "Pholiota sp. ZU-2019a partial large subunit ribosomal RNA". The record is from RNAcentral. Lineage: Eukaryota; Fungi; Basidiomycota; Agaricomycetes; Agaricales; Strophariaceae.
UCAUAGCGGRGSRRRARRAACUAACARGGAUUCCCCUAGUAACUGCGAGUGAAGCGGGAAAAGCUCAAAUUUAAAAUCUGGCGACCUUUGGCCGUCCGAGUUGUAAUCUAGAGAAGUGUUAUCCGCGCUGGACCGUGUACAAGUCUCCUGGAAUGGAGCGUCAUAGAGGGUGAGAAUCCCGUCUUUGACACGGACUGCCAGGGCUUUGUGAUGCGCUCUCAAAGAGUCGAGUUGUUUGGGAAUGCAGCUCAAAAUGGGUGGUAAAUUCCAUCUAAAGCUAAAUAUUGGCGAGAGACCGAUAGCGAACAAGUACCGUGAGGGAAAGAUGAAAAGAACUUUGGAAAGAGAGUUAAACAGUACGUGAAAUUGCUGAAAGGGAAACGCUUGAAGUCAGUCGCGUUGUUUGGGAAUCAACCUUGCUUUUGCUGGGCGUACUUUCCAGAUGACGGGCCAGCAUCAAUUUUGACCGUUGGAUAAAGAUUGGAGGAAUGUGGCAUCUUCGGAUGUGUUAUAACCUUCAGUUGCAUACAACGGUUGGGAUUGAGGAACUCAGCACGCCGCAAGGCCGGGUACUCGUACCACGUUCGUGCUUAGGAUGCUGGCAUAAUGGCUUUAAUCGACCCGUCUUGAAACACGGACCAAGGAGUCUAACAUGCCUGCGAGUAUUUGGGUGGAAAACCCGAGUGCGUAAUGAAAGUGAAAGUUGAGAUCCCUGUCGCGGGGAGCAUCGACGCCCGGACCAGACCUUUUGUGACGGAUCUGCGGUAAAGCAUGUAUGUUGGGACCCGAAAGAUGGUGAACUAUGCCUGAAUAGGGKGAAGCCAGAGGAAACUCUGGUGGAGGCUCGUAGCGAUUCUGACGUGCAAAUCGAUCGUCAAAUUUGGGUAUAGGGGCGAAAGACUAUCGAACCUUUUGGUCC